GGUGCCGAUGAACCCGGCGAUGUGGCUGCGCUCGAUCGAGAUGGUCGACGGCGACGUUGCGCCGGUGCACGCGAGGUCGACGGCGAUUUAGGAGGAGAGCUCAGAGAGGUGAAGGAGAGGGAUGAGAGAGGAGAGGUGAAGGAGAGGGGUAGAGCUCGAUCGAGGUCGAGCUCCGCGUGGGGCGCGAAUGGGGUGGGGAGCAAACAGGGUUAGGGUGGGAGGUGUGCUUCGGUUUGUUUUGGUUCGAAUUAGAGUUAGGGUUAGGAUUAUAUUAGUGGUCAAAUAAAUAUAUUUAAUAUAAAAUUAACGGCUAUUUAAAAUAAUUGCCGCUAAAACAUAUUGAUAAAAAGUAUUAACGGCUGUCCA
RNAcentral lists this long non-coding RNA (366 nucleotides) under Ananas comosus (pineapple). RNAcentral's name for it is "long non-coding RNA (ACOM_LNC017822)". Lineage: Eukaryota; Viridiplantae; Streptophyta; Magnoliopsida; Poales; Bromeliaceae. The record is from RNAcentral.